This 550-nucleotide long non-coding RNA is filed under the name Homo sapiens (human). RNAcentral's name for it is "HSALNT0380290". Lineage: Eukaryota; Metazoa; Chordata; Mammalia; Primates; Hominidae. The record is from RNAcentral.
AGUGUGGGCCUGACCGUGCCUGAGUAAGCCCCAUGGGAACACAGCCGUGGUGGGAAGCAGCUUCCCAGCAGCCCUCCCCGCCAUCGGGAGAAUCCCCUGAGGCCAUGAGAGGGUCUCAGGGAGGUGGACGGCCCAUCAAGUGAGAACCGAGGGCACUGUGCACUCCUGAAUCCUAGGACUCCUCUUAGGUUUGGAGGCUCUGGUGAUAAGGGGAACUGCUUCCAGCAGAAAACAAAGUCAUAGCGGUGUGAAACUGAGACCACCCAGUUAGGGCUUUACGUGCCACGAGAACCACAUGCAGAUGAGGUGGUUGGGUGAACCGUUCAAGGUGCUGUAGCUUUCAGGCGAGUAUGACUGAAUUGACAUCUCCUUGUUAUGAUCCUGUAGCUGAUGGGACUCCGUCAUUUCCCUGGGACAGAACCUUGGUUUUUCGUACAGACACAGAAAUACUUGAUGUUGACAAAGAAAAGUGGUGGGCUAUGCUGGGCCAUCUGCUUUUGCCCUUCCAGACCCGACCUCCACUUUCAGCAUGCGUCUGUCCCCAGGAUGG